This 448-nucleotide ribosomal RNA is filed under the name uncultured bacterium. RNAcentral's name for it is "bacterial SSU rRNA". It matches the Rfam family "Bacterial small subunit ribosomal RNA", at positions 64 to 507 of the family's 1533-position model. The record is from RNAcentral.
GAGCGGUAGAGAGAAGCUUGCUUCUCUUGAGAGCGGCGGACGGGUGAGUAAUGCCUAGGAAUCUGCCUGGUAGUGGGGGAUAACGUUCGGAAACGGACGCUAAUACCGCAUACGUCCUACGGGAGAAAGCAGGGGACCUUCGGGCCUUGCGCUAUCAGAUGAGCCUAGGUCGGAUUAGCUAGUUGGUGAGGUAAUGGCUCACCAAGGCGACGAUCCGUAACUGGUCUGAGAGGAUGAUCAGUCACACUGGAACUGAGACACGGUCCAGACUCCUACGGGAGGCAGCAGUGGGGAAUAUUGGACAAUGGGCGAAAGCCUGAUCCAGCCAUGCCGCGUGUGUGAAGAAGGUCUUCGGAUUGUAAAGCACUUUAAGUUGGGAGGAAGGGUUGUAGAUUAAUACUCUGCAAUUUUGACGUUACCGACAGAAUAAGCACCGGCUAACUCUGUG